RNAcentral lists this ribosomal RNA (484 nucleotides) under uncultured bacterium. RNAcentral describes it as "bacterial SSU rRNA". It matches the Rfam family "Bacterial small subunit ribosomal RNA", at positions 28 to 526 of the family's 1533-position model. The record is from RNAcentral.
GACGAACGCUGGCGGCGUGCCUAACACAUGCAAGUCGAGCGGGGACAGUGCUUCGGUGCUGUUCUAGCGGCGGACGGGUGAGUAACGCGUGAGUAAUCUGUGCUUGACAGGGGGACAACACGUUGAAAGACGUGCUAAUACCGCGUAAGACCACAGCACCACAUGGUGCAGGGGUCAAAGGAGCAAUCCGGUCAAGGGUGAGCUCGCGUCUGAUUAGCUAGUUGGUGAGGUAACGGCCCACCAAGGCGACGAUCAGUAGCCGGCCUGAGAGGGCGAACGGCCACACUGGGACUGAGACACGGCCCAGACUCCUACGGGAGGCAGCAGUGGGGAAUAUUGGGCAAUGGGCGAAAGCCUGACCCAGCAACGCCGCGUGAGGGAAGAAGGUUUUCGGAUUGUAAACCUCUGUCAUUGGGGAAGAAGGAAGUGACGGUACCCAAUGAGGAAGCCCCGGCUAACUACGUGCCAGCCGCCGCCGUAAAAC